UUCUAUGGCCAUACCACUCUGAACACGCCAGAUCUCAUCUGAUCUCAGAAGCUAAGCAGGGUCAGGUCUGGUUAGUACUUGGAUGGGAAAAAUUAAAAAGGUAAAAUAACAAAGGAC
RNAcentral lists this ribosomal RNA (117 nucleotides) under Octodon degus (degu). The record is from RNAcentral. Lineage: Eukaryota; Metazoa; Chordata; Mammalia; Rodentia; Octodontidae.